RNAcentral lists this long non-coding RNA (1047 nucleotides) under Piliocolobus tephrosceles (Ugandan red Colobus). RNAcentral's name for it is "lncRNA (ENSPTEG00000011827.1)". The record is from RNAcentral. Lineage: Eukaryota; Metazoa; Chordata; Mammalia; Primates; Cercopithecidae.
AUGCAUGGUUCCAGGGACCAGGCCCUCCUGCCAUCCCAGAGGCCUCUGAUCCCACAGCCUGUGCGCCCCGGCACGUGGUUGUGGCUUCAGACGCUGCCACCAGGGGGCGUGGCAGAACUGUCUUUGGGGCUGACCCCGGGCAGGCGGCCCCCACCAAGCUCUUCCUGUUGGCGCCAUCAGAGUCUGGGCUAUCUUCUGAAGCCCUCCCUGGUCUCCACACGCCCCACCCCUUUGCUCUGUUCCUCUUGUUUCUUUCCAGGGUACCUCCUUACCUCCUGUUCAGGUCACCAGAGCUCAAGCUGUGGACAUGCCCCAUUCCCCAAUAAUCUUUUCUUCAUUCUGUUUCUCCACCACUUCCAGUUCCCCCACCACUCCCAGCUGCUCCACACCCAGUCCCCAGCUCCCCCACCACUCCCAGCUGCUUCUCCCUUCCCACCUGUUUCUCCUUCCUGGUCUUCUCUCCAGACCUGGUCUGACUGUCCCUCCCAGUCCCUCAUCUACCUGGGGAUGGUUGUCUUCCACCCUGACCUCCAGGCUCUCUUGGAUGCUGCUCCUUCCCUUUCCUCCCCCCGAGCUCCUCACUGUCCCAGACCCUGCCCAAGGAGGCCUCUAACUCCAGCGCUUCUCUGUGCAUUACACUUGGAGUGGAGCACCGCCGACUCAGCAUGUCCAGACCAGGCCCCCCACACACGCUUCUUCCUGUCUCUGUCUUGGGGGCCAUUGUGUGCCCAGCUCCCCACGGGAAACUGGUCCCAGCUGCCUAUGUCUCCCUGCCCCUCCCUCUACCCAGCUAUGGGUUUUGCCUCCAAACAUUGUCCAAGCCACCCCCUUCCUCUCCUGUGCCUAGACCAGGUUCAUGCCUCCUCCCCAUGUCUGGUCCUGACACCCUCCAUCCCUCCCUCUUGGGACGACCAGCCCCCCUCUUUGUAUUACUGGCUCCCCUUGUCUCUCAGCUCUCAGUGUCACUCUGAAGAGAGGACUUCCCCACAUGCCCUGGCUGAGGAGGGGCCCCUGGGCCACUCAUCUCGCAGAUCUCGAGGUCUGUGA